This 613-nucleotide long non-coding RNA is filed under the name Eucalyptus grandis. Its description in RNAcentral is "long non-coding RNA (EGRA_LNC006062)". The record is from RNAcentral. Lineage: Eukaryota; Viridiplantae; Streptophyta; Magnoliopsida; Myrtales; Myrtaceae.
GAAUGACGCAGAACUGGGGAUGAUGAAGUUACCAGGUUAACAGGACGAAAUCAAAUCCAGUAGAAGUAACUCAAGCGAGAUCCGAGCACUUCAGUCUUCUCGGUAGGGAAACGAAGCAAAACAGAGAGGCCACUGCUUAAAGUUUAAGGCAGCGAACAGCAAUGGCGGCAAUAAAUAUUAGUCGCCUGAAUUCGAUGAAUAAAGUCUGCAAAGUGAAAUAAACCAGUGAGAUCGUUUUUCCAUACUCCCCGCAGCUUCAAAAUAAAUAAACUAGCCUUCCCUUCGGUGAAGGAUUCCUGCGGAAACAGAAACAAUACCAGUCGGCGGAGAGGAAGACGGGAACGUUGGCGGCGGAGGCCCUGAAGCGCGGCCCUGAAGACGUGGAGGAUGCAGUCGCGGGGGGGAAGCGAAACCGAGAUUUGGGCAUCAGGAGACUCGGGACUCGGGGGGAGUAGCUUCGGGGGAGGCUCGGCCAAGGGCGUCGGGACUCGGGGGGAGCAGCUUCGGGGGAGGCUCGGCCAAGGGCGUCGGGACUUGGGGGGAGAGACUCAGAGAUUUGGGUAGGAACGGGCGUCGAGCGGCGAGGGUUCAGGCGAGCGGCGUCGGCGACUGG